AGAGGCCACUGGACGGAGUGUGUGCCGGUCUCCAUACGGUCAGAUAUUUAGUGGUAAAUUUGGCGGAUGGGACCGCUAAUCUCCGGUAGGCAGAAACCGAUUUCCAGGUAAAGGCGUCCAGGUUCGGGCCUAGCGGAGGAAGAUGUAUCGACGGCUGGUGGGACGGCCGGCCGGCCUUUCUCUAGCGCCCGUAAUUCUACUCCGACCAGUCGGAUGGCGCGAAUAUCGGGUUUCUCGGCUGGGGCCCAAUUUUCUCCCGUACGCUGGGGGCCGGGUUAAGAACCCGUCCGGUCUUAAAUUUCCUAAAAAACAUUUAAACCUGUCUAAACUCCCUAAAUUUAACGGCCGUAGCCACCGGUAAAGGCGGUUCGGGUGUAGGGCCGCCACCGAAACCAAAAACCGGGAGGGGGCGGUGGCCCCACACCCGGGCUAAGAAAAGUAGCUGGGGCCCCAAUUCCGUCUUUCAACUCCACCGAUUUAUACUACUACGGCGGUGAUCGGAUUUUGGGUAGGAAAUUUCUGGCGGUAGGUCUACCGGACCGUAUCAUCCGGUUAUUAAUUUAAGCGGGAAAAGGAUGGGCUAUCCGUUUUUAGUCGGUUUAAAAGCUGACCCGGAGAAGUCCGGGUGGGCCCGACUAAUUUGUCAAAGUAGGACCGGGCCACUGGGUCUCACUUUAAAACUGGCACGCGGCCGAUUUAAUCCCAGUCAGACUCCUCGGCCUCCGUAAAAGUAUUCCGGAGCUGGUGGUGGCGCUAAAUUCUGGCUAAAUAAGCGGCCUUUAAAAAUCCCUCCCAGCGGUAACGGUCAAACUUAAGCUGGCCUGCCGAGUUUUAGGACCCAUACCCGUUUUUCCUAGGCCUCCACUCGAUAUGGGCUGGGCCGGCACUUCCGACGGAAACGGUGGGCCCGCGCCGGGAAGUAUCUGGCCAGAAAUCCCGAUAAAUUGUCCGUGGAUAAAUAGGGAAAUGCCAGAAAACAUUCGGAGAGUCCCAGUUACAACUGGGAGCUGGGCCCGCGGUUAGUUAAACCCCGGGCUGGAAACCAGGGGUAAGUCGGGGAAAGGUGGCCUGGGUAAGUAUGGCGGGUAGUCGACCAAACUGGAACCGACGGUAAGUAGCCUUAAUUUCGCACCCGAUAAACCUUUCGAUACGGUCGACCCUAGGCCCUAGACCGAACCGAGUACGGUGGCGGAAUAAGGUGGACCACCCAAUUUCCGCCGAAAAGAAGCGCUUCGGGCCGCUGGGCUGGGCAGCCACCGACACCCACGCUUAUUUCCAGGUCGGACCGAUGUUAAGCCUAUCCGGCUGUUUUAAAUCGGCAUCGGGUACCAGCGUUCGUCUUUGACUCGGACAACUUCCACUCCCGGCCCGCACCUAUUUUCUUCGGCUCCACUUCGGCAGACGCAGCCACCUAAAUACCGUAUCUGUCAAUAAAAUCUUGGUGCAGAAAAUACGGGAGGGGAUAGAGCGGUCGGGCUCCGCCACCCCACUAUUUACCUUACCCACUAAGGUAAGGCAGAUAGUCGCGCGGGAUGGAGGUAGCCGGCCCGGGCCGGCUUAACUUUCUCUUAUAAAAUUCGCCUCUGACCCCUCGGCCGUUUAAAGACGGACGGGAUAGAAGAGGAAGCGGUAAACACCGCGCCUUAGGUGGGAUUUACUGGCGGUCCCGGGCUUUAUUCUCCCGUUAUUGGUCUAGCCGUCGACAGUGUCAGCCGACCACCCACUCCUUCCUUUACAUCGAUAGGCUCAGUUUCCACUGGCCCGCUUUCCCGUCGGGUCCCAUAGCUAGUUCCGGGAGACGCCCGGGAAAGGUAGCGUCAGGGACGGCCGCCGGUAUCCUGACGCUACCUUUUCUCCCAGCCUUAGAAAAAGAAGAAAGACGCCGUUUAAGGCGGAAUUUCCACCCAGUGUCAACGCUUUUCCUCUUCCACCGUUAUUUGGCCAAAAUGACCCUGCCCGGGAUUUUUUGGACACCGGAUUCCAUUCUGUCAAAAUACUAAGUGGCCGGGCCCGAUCAGCCCUUCCACCGGCUGCCCAGCCCGGCGGAGGGGUGGACCGGAUGGUGGAGGACGGGCCCGUGGGCGGAACUACACUGCGCCGGACCUCGCCUGGCGGGGGGACUCAAAUCCUCUCGAUCCGCACUUUACCCUUUUUUUAAAUUAACGACAUAAUAAGAUAAAGACGAAAAGCACCAGCCCGAAGAGCGAGAGGUGGAUGGAAGCCCAAAAUAUGGAAAUAAAAGAUUUUUGCGACUUUAAAAUCCAGCCAGAAGAAUAUUAAAUAUAUUUUCUUUCGAUAACUGUCGAUGGUGUUUUAAGUGAUGUUCGUUUUUGUUAUUUUCUAAUAAAAAUUUGUGUUUCUUGGUGGUAGGGGCCCGAAUAAUAUUUGGCGGGUGGCCAAAAGUUUUAAGUUCCGCUAGUGGAUGGCCGGGCCCGGACCCCGCCAUCAACAUUUCCCAGGGGCGAGACUCCAGACUGGAAUCCAAAACGGAUAGCCCGAGAGUUUCCAGACGGCCGUCGGGUCCGAGCCGGUCUAUGACAGCCCGGGCUCGACCCGACUGGCAGUUAUUCGAUGAUGGCCCAGAACCUGGGUGGGAAAUUAAAAUCGACCAGCCUGGGCUGGACGUCCCACCAUCCCCGGUUUUCACUCUACCUUUUUUUAUUCCGGAGUAUUUUUCUUUGGCCUUCCUCCGAAUGUCCGGCCCUGGCUCUAACGGAAAAUAAUCGCUUUUGGCCAUUGGUACCCGGGCUCCGGCUCUACUAUUAUUGGAAAUGUAAAAAGUCCAUCUACGGGUGAGUCGAUAGACAGCUUCGGCCAGGUGUAGCUCUGGAAUGACCAAAGGGUGGCUGCGUACUUCCUCACCUCCAAACGUCAGUUUAAUCCGCUACUUACGGGUUUCUUUCGGCUUCUGCCGGGAAAUUCCGCCCGGGGUGGUCGGAACUUGGCUGGAGAACCGAAAAAAUGGGCUAGUUUCGGUAAAACUCGGUUAAUCGAGGAUCGAAAAGUGCCAGUUACGCUAUAAUUUUUCCCAGGGCUGGUCCGUUAGGCGGGUAAACCCUCCGGUGUUUUUAAAUGGGUAACAGCCCUUCCUUCCCGCCCGCGUCCGGCCCAGCCAGAAUUACGGACUACGGGUAGAGGCCGACAGGCCGAAUUUUUUUAAUAUUUUUCGGAAAGCGCGGGUAUCCAGCCCUAAAGCCGCGGCCGGUCCAAACCACGGAGUUAAAAUCGUUUUAAGUAGAUAGGGCGGAACUCGGAGGGUGGACGGACCGUCCGACAUCCUGGGCCACAGGGGUGAGCCGGAAUAAUUUCCCCUCUUCCAUUUUAAGUCCGCGGUCGAAUUAGAGGAUGUUCGGCGGCCCAGCCUUUUUAGCGCCGGAGGGUGAGAAUCGGCCCCAUCCGGAACACCACCACCGGCACCCGCCGAUUGGAUCCGGACCGUGUCGGGUCGGCCCACCAUACAAAUCGACCGGAAUAAUCGAUUGGGGCGCCGAUUCCAGCGGUCACAGCUCGGGACCGUUCCAUUUAUUGGAUGUCAACGGCGGGGGUAGGUAGGCCGAAUGAGGGGUGCUGGUCCGAUUCGAUUGGCGAAGUUCUGGUUUAUUAUUGGCCAACGAAUCUGGGUUGUUAUUCGUGUAGUCAGCUGUGGCGUCGUGUAAUGGCCACUAGGCCAAGUGUUUCGUUGUACUCUAAGAACUUGUCCUAUUUUAUAAAGUCGUCAUCGUUUUAGAUCAGUUCUUCGAUCAAAAGCGGAAACUGGCGUUUGAUGUUUCUGUAUUAAAAAUACUAUACAGUCGGCCCCCGUAUAAUAUCGGAGAUACCUUCCGCCAUACACGGGCUAUGGUAUGGGUUUCCUAGGUAAUGAUGUCUUAUCUGAAAACCCGCCUAGGCCCGCUUCCGGCAUUGUAAUCAAAUUAAGAACGAUAAAGCGUUGGAUAUCCGUCGACGGUAUCAGAAACCCAACCGGGUCUAUCGGUUUCCACUCGAAACUUUAACAACUUUCUAGUCGGGUUAUACCCAUCCGCGGUUUACCAGUCCGUUGUAUACGGGGUUUACCCAUUACGGCAACUUUUAAAAUUCCUUCUUUUUACCGCCCUAUAGUUAGGGUGGGACUUAGGCCCGGCCCUCCCCAGACCGUACACCGGGUUUGGAGUGGACCGCCGUCUCGGGCUAAGCGGACGGAAGAAGCCCGGUUGUUCGACCGAUAAAUGGGAUGGAGAGCGGCCAGGGCCGAAGGGUGAAGAAGCCGUCCGACUCGGGGGAUAGUUGGGGAGGGGAGGCGGGCCGGUCAAACGCUAUCGAGACUGGACUAACCGCCGGCCAUUUUCUUUCAGCUAGGAUUCAGUCUGGCAUCCAACUGGGAAAG
Molecule: long non-coding RNA, 4363 nt
Filed under: Androctonus crassicauda
Lineage: Eukaryota; Metazoa; Arthropoda; Arachnida; Scorpiones; Buthidae
Source: RNAcentral